Molecule: ribosomal RNA, 542 nt
Filed under: uncultured Flavobacterium sp.
Lineage: Bacteria; Pseudomonadati; Bacteroidota; Flavobacteriia; Flavobacteriales; Flavobacteriaceae
Description: bacterial SSU rRNA
Rfam family: Bacterial small subunit ribosomal RNA
Source: RNAcentral
UGAGGAAUAUUGGUCAAUGGGCGCAAGCCUGAACCAGCCAUGCCGCGUGCAGGAUGAAGCAUCUAUGGUGUGUAAACUGCUUUUGUACGGGAAGAAACAGCUCUUCGUGAAGAGCCUUGACGGUACCGUAAGAAUAAGGAUCGGCUAACUCCGUGCCAGCAGCCGCGGUAAUACGGAGGAUCCAAGCGUUAUCCGGAAUCAUUGGGUUUAAAGGGUCCGUAGGCGGUUUUAUAAGUCAGUGGUGAAAUCCGGCAGCUCAACUGUCGAACUGCCAUUGAUACUGUAGGACUUGAAUUAUUAUGAAGUAACUAGAAUAUGUAGUGUAGCGGUGAAAUGCUUAGAUAUUACAUGGAAUACCAAUUGCGAAGGCAGGUUACUAAUAAUGGAUUGACGCUGAUGGACGAAAGCGUGGGGAGCGAACAGGAUUAGAUACCCUGGUAGUCCACGCCGUAAACGAUGGAUACUAGCUGUUCGGUAGCAAUACUGAGUGGCUAAGCGAAAGUGAUAAGUAUCCCACCUGGGGAGUACGAACGCAAGUUUGA